GUCCUCCUUCAAACUCCCGAUGGAGAUAUCGUCCUUUUUCUGAAAAAGUAGAUGAAGGUCUCCUCCUCUUUUGUGCUCUAGCCAUCGCCCUGCCGGAAAACGCUCCUCCUCUACGUGCGAAUCUCCGUCGUGUGACAUCUCUUCCUCCUAAGAUGAAGAUCUUGAAUAGCCCCUCCUUCUAGCGCCAAUUUGUUGAUAGAGGAAUUUGGUAAUCAACAAAGAUGAGGUUCAUGGCCGGAAUCAAGAUCCGUGACGGUGGUUUUGGUCGCCGGAGAGUGGUGGUUGUUUGUUUUAGGGGGUGGCUGAGAUUAGGGUUUUGAGUUGGUCUCACGUGCUCUCAACUCAUGAUCCCCCAAUGUGCCUACGUACCCCUAUAUUUAUAGGGGAUCAAGCCGUACGUAGUUCUAUGGAACCAGGAGUCCUAGUUUGAUCAGGACUAGGCCUCUUGGCGAUAAGGUCGGAGAUAGGCCGAAGGCCCAUCUUGGAGAAUCCUACUCCUGUUAGAAUUAGUCUUGAGUAUGACUACCUCAGACUCCUAAUCCAAAUAGAUCACGGAUUCAACGAUAUCUCCACUACGAGAGAUAGCAUCUACCACGACUCUUAUGGAGAAGUUAUCUGGGGGAGCCAUG
This 629-nucleotide long non-coding RNA is filed under the name Daucus carota (carrot). RNAcentral describes it as "long non-coding RNA (DCAR_LNC000012)". Lineage: Eukaryota; Viridiplantae; Streptophyta; Magnoliopsida; Apiales; Apiaceae. The record is from RNAcentral.